Molecule: ribosomal RNA, 500 nt
Filed under: uncultured bacterium
Lineage: Bacteria
Description: partial 16S ribosomal RNA
Rfam family: Bacterial small subunit ribosomal RNA
Source: RNAcentral
GACGAACGCUGGCGGCGUGCCUAAUACAUGCAAGUCGAACGAACCGCGACUGAGUGCUUGCACUUGGUCAAGGUGAGUGGCGAACGGGUGAGUAACACGUGGGUAACCUACCUCAUAGUGGGGGAUAACAGUCGGAAACGACUGCUAAUACCGCAUAGGACAUAGGAUCACAUGAUCCAGUGAGGAAAGGUGGCGCAAGCUAUCGCUAAGAGAUGGACCCGCGGUGCAUUAGCUAGUUGGUAGGGUAAAGGCCUACCAAGGCGAUGAUGCAUAGCCGACCUGAGAGGGUGAUCGGCCACAUUGGGACUGAGACACGGCCCAAACUCCUACGGGAGGCAGCAGUAGGGAAUCUUCCGCAAUGGACGCAAGUCUGACGGAGCAACGCCGCGUGAGUGAAGAAGGUCUUCGGAUCGUAAAGCUCUGUUGUUAGAGAAGAACAGCGCAUAGAGUAACUGCUAUGCGUGUGACGGUAUCUAACCAGAAAGCCACGGCUAACUACG